UUUUAGGAUAAGACUGGACACCCCUGAAGGAAGAACUGCAUUUGAUACAGAUCUCCUGGUUGGCUUGGGCACCUGAACAGGAAGCUGGUGGGCGGAGCUGGGAAGAGCGGUCUUUAAUUGAGGCACACCUGUGGAUGUGCUUUAAUGUGCAAACUAAAUGUUGGCUCCACUCUCAAGAAGGUCUGCCAACUGCAACUGGAGCCGUCUCCACGGUAGAUUGCAAGCAAUGAAUAGCCAGCGGAGAUCCAACAUGACCACUGCAAAACACCAAGAGUCAACUUUCACCUUGGCACCUCAAAAGGAAGAGACCGAGCUUCUUUGCAGUGAGGUACACCAUGUUGGCUGAAUGCACAUGGAACGACUUGGGGCAUUACUCAGCAGUCUUGUACUUAAUCAAGCAAAUGGCCAUGAUUGAAUGCGGGAGUAAUUACACUGCCACGACCUACAUGCGAGAGCUCAUCUGAAAUCCCACAGGGAAGGGAAGGGGGCGGGGGGGCCAGCCCGCCCGUACCGCCAGGCGGACCCCAACACCCGCAUCCCCCGACCCCCUCCUGCACUGCCACACCUUCAUCAAGAUGGGACCUGUGCUAAAACACUGCUCAAAUCCUCUGACUGGAAGGGGUGGCUGGGGGACUCAGACUUGCCCUGAAUGUCUGGCUGCUAUCAAAUAAGGACUUACUUCAGAGUAGAAGGGUAAUAUUCUGGCCCCCCCCCCCCCAGUUGCAGAAUCCUUAUUUGCUGGUGCGUGUGUUUGAGCAGUCAAACUUCAGCGCUUUUUUUUAAAUCAGCCAAACCACUUCCUCCGACCAUCUGCGGAGUCCCGAUACUCGUUGUAAUUGUUAAUACAGCGAACUUUGCCCUUUCUGAAAUGACCCUCGCUGUCGCCAUGCCAACGCAGAAUGUUCAAAGUUCAACAUACGCGGGUGACAGGAACUGGUUCCGGCGGGUCAACCUGCGACACGAACGGAUCGGCAAACACUGCCUGCCGCCAUGUUUGCGCCUUUCACACACGCCAGGGCGUCUGUGUGUGCGGUGGGCGAGGCGCGCAGACGGAGGGCGAUACGCCUCACUAAAACAGGGCUCCGAAUUCCCGCCGCACAGUCCGCAGGUGUAUUGCAACAGGGUGUGUAUUUUAACUGCCAAGCCGUGGGGGGAAAGAAUAACACUUAAAAUAAUGUCCCAUGAAAAAUAGGUGUGAACAGUGUGCUGUUUUGUGGACAUUCGAACAUCUAUUAUUAUUCUUUUAUUCCGUGAGAAAAGAAUUCCAGCACCCCCAGUUUUCACUGCCUCCGUGGGAGAAUUCCACAAUCUUCCGGGCUAUUCCGCCGGCACCGUUGCUCAUGCCUGCUUGUUUGAACACGUUUUUUACUGGGCCGUAUUAAAGUGCUAUAAAUGA
Molecule: long non-coding RNA, 1396 nt
Organism: Anguilla rostrata (American eel)
Lineage: Eukaryota; Metazoa; Chordata; Actinopteri; Anguilliformes; Anguillidae
Exons: 2
Source: RefSeq, a predicted model, not a curated record